UUCAACCUUUUCCUACAGCUUCGUUCCCAUGAUUUCUUCAUGUUCCCUUCUUGUCGAACUUGCUGGACCUCUGCUACUUGCCGCCAAAUACUAGGCCCGAGGGUGCAGCUGUUGUCCCUAGGUGCGCUGCCAUCAAGACGGCUGCUGCGGUACUCCACCGGUCUGAGAGGGUUAUGGGGGCGGGUCGAGAGGGAUUUUCUACCUGGAGCACCUCGUCCUCGUGUUACUAUAUCGGCACCUCUCAUAAAACCUCAAUGACUGGUUGUUGGAAACACUUGAUCCAGUUGCCAAGAUGACAUGCCACACAAUUGUUGUUCAAGCUUUGGUUUUCCGUUUACUGUAUGAAGUGUUUAUCUUAUGACAUUUUGUGUUGCUCUAUUCUGGCCCAGUCAUGUUGCUACUCUAUAUUACUACUUUGUACUACACCCAUUUUACCGGUUAUUUUGGUUCUAUGCACUGUGUACUUGAGGACGACAAGAUUAGUUAACUGAAGAUAGAUCUAAA
This is a long non-coding RNA of Triticum dicoccoides, 504 nucleotides long. RefSeq lists it as uncharacterized. The record is from RefSeq and is a predicted model, not a curated record. Lineage: Eukaryota; Viridiplantae; Streptophyta; Magnoliopsida; Poales; Poaceae. The transcript is spliced from 2 exons.